This 717-nucleotide ribosomal RNA is filed under the name uncultured bacterium. RNAcentral describes it as "bacterial SSU rRNA". It matches the Rfam family "Bacterial small subunit ribosomal RNA", at positions 62 to 748 of the family's 1533-position model. The record is from RNAcentral.
UCGACGAGAGGACAUGGGAAGCUUGCUUCCUAUGAAAUCGAGUGGCAAACGGGUGAGUAACGCGUAAACAACCUGCCCUUCGGAUGGGGAUAACAGCCGGAAACGGCUGCUAAUACCGAAUACGAUCUUUUCGUCGCAUGACGGAAAGAAGAAAGGAUGGCCUCUAUACAAAGCUAUCGCCGAAGGAGGGGUUUGCGUCUGAUUAGCUGGUUGGAGGGGUAACGGCCCAACAAGGCGAUGAUCAAUAGCCGGUCUGAGAGGAUGAACGGCCACAUUGGGACUGAGACACGGCCCAGACUCCUACGGGAGGCAGCAGUGGGGAAUCUUCCGCAAUGGACGAAAGUCUGACGGAGCAACGCCGCGUGAGUGAAGAAGGUCUUCGGAUUGUAAAGCUCUGUUAUACGGGACGAAAAAGACGGAUGCCAACAGUAUCCGUCCGUGACGGUACCGUAAGAGAAAGCCACGGCUAACUACGUGCCAGCAGCCGCGGUAAUACGUAGGUGGCAAGCGUUGUCCGGAAUUAUUGGGCGUAAAGGGCGCGCAGGCGGUUCGGUAAGUCUGUCUUAAAAGUGCGGGGCUUAACCCCGUGAGGGGACGGAAACUGUCGAACUUGAGUGUCGGAGAGGAAAGCGGAAUUCCUAGUGUAGCGGUGAAAUGCGUAGAUAUUAGGAGGAACACCGGUGGCGAAANNNGCUUUCUGGACGACAACUGACGCUG